UACGUAGGGGGCAAGCGUUGUUCGGAAUUACUGGGCGUAAAGGGCGCGUAGGCGGCACAGCAAGUCGGGAGUGAAAGCCCGGGGCUCAACCCCAGAACGGCUUUCGAAACUGCUGAGCUAGAGUACAGAAGGGGCAACCGGAAUUCCCAGUGUAGCGGUGAAAUGCGUAGAUAUUGGGAAGAACACCUGAGGCGAAGGCGGGUUGCUGGGCUGAUACUGACGCUGAGGCGCGAAAGCCAGGGGAGCAAACGGG
RNAcentral lists this ribosomal RNA (253 nucleotides) under uncultured bacterium. RNAcentral's name for it is "partial 16S ribosomal RNA". It matches the Rfam family "Bacterial small subunit ribosomal RNA", at positions 524 to 776 of the family's 1533-position model. The record is from RNAcentral.